This is a long non-coding RNA of Eucalyptus grandis, 999 nucleotides long. RefSeq lists it as uncharacterized. The record is from RefSeq and is a predicted model, not a curated record. The transcript has 2 exons. NCBI's taxonomy places the organism in Eukaryota, Viridiplantae, Streptophyta, Magnoliopsida, Myrtales, Myrtaceae.
CCCCCUGCCGUCUCACGCUGCAGCUUCUCGGUCGGAUUGUUGACCGCAAGUUCCACGAUUGAUGGUCCACGACGCCACCUGGCCCAACGUCCGCGAGCAGCUUCAUCUUCGCUGCUUCGUGCGUCUCCAGCCACGACGUCCAGAGAAGCCCAGUGUCUUCGCAGCAUCAUCGAGGUAGUAGUCUUCAUCGCCUUGGUCAGUAUUUCCUUGGUCUUCCUCAGCCACGCCAGCGAAGCCCCUACGAGCGCCAGUCCACCGAUUCUUCAACAAGCCCACGCACUCCAGUCCAUCUUCGCUUGAGUGUGUCUCGGCCCAGCAACAGCACUGACUGCCUUCCAUUGAUUGUGGGCUCAGCAAAUUGAAGCCCAACUCAGAUUCAGCUCAAAACUUCAGCAGCUCCAUUGGGCUUUCUUGUUCAGCCCAAUUUCGGCCCAAGAAGUCAGCAAUCCUCAGCCCAUUAAAUAAGUCCAGCAGCCCAAGUCUUGGCCCAGCAGCAAGCCCACGUCUUUUAGAAGCCCAGCAGGAUCAGAAGCCCGCAAUUUUGAGGCCCAAGCCCGCGAAGUCAGGCCCACCAAAGCAGUGGACUCAGCCCAGCUCGAGCAGCGAGCUUGUAGGCCGAUUUCGACCCCGGUUUGACCCCGGUUGGCGGACCCGCUUCGGACAGGAUUGACCCGUGUCGCGUGCUCGUCGAUUUGGUCCGAUUGGCUCGUUAAUCAAGUCCUUGGAUACAGUAGACUUGGAUUUUGAAGAUCUCGAAAGUCCAGUGCAGUCUGCUGAAGGCUCCAGUUGAAGUGUAGAGGAUGAUGGAGAGGAGGACGGGGACCCGUAGUUUGUAGAACCCCACUCUUGUUUGUAGACCUUAUUUUUACACUGGCUUAAGUUGAAUUUGACUUAAUAGCUCACCUUGUAUAUAUAGGUGCACUAGUUUGCAAUGUAUAUGUGAGUGAACGUUUUAAAGGUUUGAAAUUUAAUCCUACUGUGUUAUCCCAAUGUUUUAUU